Molecule: small nuclear RNA, 74 nt
Filed under: Cervus elaphus hippelaphus
Lineage: Eukaryota; Metazoa; Chordata; Mammalia; Artiodactyla; Cervidae
Source: RNAcentral
GCUUGCUUCAGCUGCACAUAUGCAAACACUGGAACGAUGCAGAGAUUAGCAUGGCCCCUGGGCAAGGAUGACAC